This 468-nucleotide ribosomal RNA is filed under the name uncultured bacterium. Its description in RNAcentral is "partial 16S ribosomal RNA". It matches the Rfam family "Bacterial small subunit ribosomal RNA", at positions 28 to 507 of the family's 1533-position model. The record is from RNAcentral.
GACGAACGCUGGCGGCGUGCUUAACACAUGCAAGUCGAACGGAAAGGCCCUGCUUUUGUGGGGUGCUCGAGUGGCGAACGGGUGAGUAACACGUGAGUAACCUGCCCUUGACUUUGGGAUAACUUCAGGAAACUGGGGCUAAUCUCGGAUAGGAGCUCCUGCUGCAUGGUGGGGGUUGGAAAGUUUCGGCGGUUGGGGAUGGACUCGCGGCUUAUCAGCUUGUUGGUGGGGUAGUGGCUUACCAAGGCUUUGACGGGUCGGCGGCCUGAGAGGGUGACCGGCCACAUGGGGACUGAGAUACGGCCCAGACUCCUACGGGAGGCAGCGGUGGGGAAUAUUGCACAAUGGGCGGAAGCCUGAUGCAGCAACGCCGCGUGCGGGAUGACGGCCUUCGGGUUGUAAACCGCUUUCGCCUGUGACGAAGCGUGAGUGACGGUAAUGGGUGAAGAAGCACCGGCUAACUACGUG